UCGAGCGCAUCAGAUGAGAAGCUUGCUUCUCUGAUGUUAGCGGCGGACGGGUGAGUAACACGUGGGUAACCUACCUAUAAGACUGGGAUAACUCCGGGAAACCGGGGCUAAUACCGGAUAAUAUUUUGAACCGCAUGGUUCAAUAGUGAAAGACGGUUUCGGCUGUCACUUAUAGAUGGACCCGCGCCGUAUUAGCUAGUUGGUAAGGUAACGGCUUACCAAGGCGACGAUACGUAGCCGACCUGAGAGGGUGAUCGGCCACACUGGAACUGAGACACGGUCCAGACUCCUACGGGAGGCAGCAGUAGGGAAUCUUCCGCAAUGGGCGAAAGCCUGACGGAGCAACGCCGCGUGAGUGAUGAAGGUCUUCGGAUCGUAAAACUCUGUUGUUAGGGAAGAACAAAUUUGUUAGUAACUGAACAAGUCUUGACGGUACCUAACCAGAAAGCCACGGCUAACUACGUGCCAGCAGCCGCGGUAAUACGUAGGUGGCAAGCGUUAUCCGGAAUUAUUGGGCGUAAAGCGCGCGUAGGCGGUUUCUUAAGUCUGAUGUGAAAGCCCACGGCUCAACCGUGGAGGGUCAUUGGAAACUGGGAAACUUGAGUGCAGAAGAGGAGAGUGGAAUUCCAUGUGUAGCGGUGAAAUGCGCAGAGAUAUGGAGGAACACCAGUGGCGAAGGCGGCUCUCUGGUCUGUAACUGACGCUGAUGUGCGAAAGCGUGGGGAUCAAACAGGAUUAGAUACCCUGGUAGUCCACGCCGUAAACGAUGAGUGCUAAGUGUUAGGGGGUUUCCGCCCCUUAGUGCUGCAGCUAACGCAUUAAGCACUCCGCCUGGGGAGUACGACCGCAAGGUUGAAACUCAAAGGAAUUGACGGGGACCCGCACAAGCGGUGGAGCAUGUGGUUUAAUUCGAAGCAACGCGAAGAACCUUACCAAAUCUUGACAUCCUUUGACCGCUCUAGAGAUAGAGUCUUCCCCUUCGGGGGACAAAGUGACAGGUGGUGCAUGGUUGUCGUCAGCUCGUGUCGUGAGAUGUUGGGUUAAGUCCCGCAACGAGCGCAACCCUUAAGCUUAGUUGCCAUCAUUAAGUUGGGCACUCUAGGUUGACUGCCGGUGACAAACCGGAGGAAGGUGGGGAUGACGUCAAAUCAUCAUGCCCCUUAUGAUUUGGGCUACACACGUGCUACAAUGGAUAAUACAAAGGGCAGCGAAUCCGCGAGGCCAAGCAAAUCCCAUAAAAUUAUUCUCAGUUCGGAUUGUAGUCUGCAACUCGACUACAUGAAGCUGGAAUCGCUAGUAAUCGUAGAUCAGCAUGCUACGGUGAAUACGUUCCCGGGUCUUGUACACACCGCCCGUCACACCACGAGAGUUUGUAACACCCGAAGCCGGUGGAGUAACCUUUUAGG
This 1406-nucleotide ribosomal RNA is filed under the name Mammaliicoccus sciuri. RNAcentral describes it as "bacterial SSU rRNA". It matches the Rfam family "Bacterial small subunit ribosomal RNA". Lineage: Bacteria; Bacillati; Bacillota; Bacilli; Caryophanales; Staphylococcaceae. The record is from RNAcentral.